CGGAGGAAAAGAAACCAACAGGGAUUGCUUUAGUAACGGCGAGUGAAGCGGCAUAAGCUCAAAUUUGAAAUCUGCCACCAGGCCGAGUUGUAAUUUGCAGAGGAUGCUUUGGAAUUCAUUCUAGCACAAGUCCAUUGGAACGUGGCGACAUGGAAGGUGAAAUUCCUGUAUCAUGUUGGUAAUGUUUUCCAUGUAAAGCUCCUUCGAAGAGUCGAGUUGUUUGGGAAUGCAGCUCUAAGUGGGAGGUAAAUUUCUUCCAAAGCUAAAUAUAGGCUAGAGACCGAUAGCGCACAAGUAGAGUGAUCGAAAGAUGAAAAGCACUUUGAAAAGAGAGUUAAAUAGCAUGUGAAAUUGUUGAAAGGGAAGCGCAUGCAGCCAGACAUGGUGAUGAAGUUCAGCCUUAUGGUGUAUUCUUUAUUACCAGGCCAGCAUCAGUUUAGGCAGUUGGAUAAAAGUUUCGGGAAUGUAACUCUUCGGAGUGUUAUAGCCCGAUUCAUAAUGCAGCUAGUCUAGACUGAGGUCUGCUUUAAGGAUGCUGGCAUAAUGGUGGCAUGCGGCCCGUCUUGAAACACGGACCAAGGAGUCUAACAUUUAUGCGAGUGUUUGAGUGUCAAACUCAUACGCGGAAUGAAAGUGAACGGAGGUGAGAGCUUAGGCGCAUCAUCGACCGGUCUUGAUGUCUUCGGAUGGAUCUGAGUAAGAGCAUAACUGUUAGGACCCGAAAGGUAAGCACAUUUUUCAUUAUUACACCCUGUACAACUAGAUUUCAAGCUAACAUUUCGCAGAUGGUGAACUAUGCCUGAAUAGGGUGAAGUCAGAGGAAACUCUGAUGGAGGCCCGCAGCGGUUCUGACGUGCAAAUCGAUCGUCAAAUUUGGGCAU
Molecule: ribosomal RNA, 881 nt
Filed under: Bogoriella pandanicola
Lineage: Eukaryota; Fungi; Ascomycota; Dothideomycetes; Trypetheliales; Trypetheliaceae
Description: eukaryotic LSU rRNA
Rfam family: Eukaryotic large subunit ribosomal RNA
Source: RNAcentral